GGCGAUCUGUAUUAGAAGAGCUGCUAAAAUUUUCCCAGAGAAAAUUACCACAGUACACAUGAGUAAUGUCAGCUUCGUGAAUUAUUUAUGGAUUAUCCUCUAACAGAAGUAGGCCCAAGAACAGAGUGGGAUAAUAGGGGCUCUGCUACUAAAGACUGUAUGAAAUUGGAAAAGGGGAGCGUUGGGGUCCUUUCCAACAAGGUAACCUCUAGAAAGCCUUUUUAAAAACAUCUCAUCCUCUGGUCUUCAUGAAGAAAGAACAACCACAACAACAAAAAAGCACAAAUUUGUUAUUUCUAGGAAAACUCCUAACCACUGCACUUGAAACAGGAGUGACUGCCUACAAAAUACUGGGACAAAAGAGGUUGGAUGUGUUAUGUAAUGUGACUGGGGGGAAAAAUCUUUGGUCUCAGAGACAUAGGGACUGGAAUUUCUAUUAGGACAGAAUAUAAGUUUUUUAUUCAGUUACUGGCCAAUAAACCAUUCCUUGGUUAAUGCAUUAUAUAGAAGCUUGGGUGUGGAGAAGGACAUAAUACACAAGUCUUUGCACCAAGGUAUACUGCCACCUAAACUUUGUUGAAAAUACCUGAGUGAA
Non-coding RNA from Delphinapterus leucas (beluga whale), 595 nucleotides. Lineage: Eukaryota; Metazoa; Chordata; Mammalia; Artiodactyla; Monodontidae. The record is from RefSeq and is a predicted model, not a curated record.